This 524-nucleotide ribosomal RNA is filed under the name uncultured bacterium. Its description in RNAcentral is "bacterial SSU rRNA". It matches the Rfam family "Bacterial small subunit ribosomal RNA", at positions 774 to 1296 of the family's 1533-position model. The record is from RNAcentral.
AGUAAAUAGAUACCCAGGUAGUCCACGCCGUAAACGAUGUCGACUUGGAGGUUGUGCCCUUGAGGCGUGGCUUCCGGAGCUAAACGCGUUAAGUCGACCGCCUGGGGAGUACGGCCGCAAGGUUAAAACUCAAAUGAAUUGACGGGGGCCCGCACAAGCGGUGGAGCAUGUGGUUUAAUUCGAUGCAACGCGAAGAACCUUACCUACUCUUGACAUCCAGAGAAUUUAGCAGAGAUGCUUUGGUGCCUUCGGGAACUCUGAGACAGGUGCUGCAUGGCUGUCGUCAGCUCGUGUUGUGAAAUGUUGGGUUAAGUCCCGCAACGAGCGCAACCCUUAUCCUUUGUUGCCAGCGGUUAGGCCGGGAACUCAAAGGAGACUGCCAGUGAUAAACUGGAGGAAGGUGGGGAUGACGUCAAGUCAUCAUGGCCCUUACGAGUAGGGCUACACACGUGCUACAAUGGCGCAUACAAAGAGAAGCGACCUCGCGAGAGCAAGCGGACCUCAUAAAGUGCGUCGUAGUCCGG